RNAcentral lists this ribosomal RNA (523 nucleotides) under Eimeriidae sp. RNAcentral's name for it is "bacterial SSU rRNA". It matches the Rfam family "Eukaryotic small subunit ribosomal RNA", at positions 391 to 852 of the family's 1831-position model. Lineage: Eukaryota; Apicomplexa; Conoidasida; Eucoccidiorida; Eimeriidae. The record is from RNAcentral.
GGAGCCUGAGAAACGGCUCCCACAUCUAAGGAAGGCAGCAGGCGCGCAAAUUACCCAAUGAAAACAGUUUUGAGGUAGUGGCGAGAAAUAACAAUACAGAGCAUUUAAAUGUUUUGUAAUUGGAAUGGUGGGAAUCUAAACCCCUUUCAGAGUAACAAUUGGAGGGAAAGUCUGGUGCCAGCAGCCGCGGUAAUUCCAGCUCCAAUAGCGUAUAUUUGAGUUGUUGCAGUUAAAAAGAUAGUAGUUGGAUUUCUGUCUUGGCUUUUACGUGUAGUACAUGUAUAUUAAUUUAUAGAUGUUUUAUAACAGCGUUUAAACUUUGACAUAUUAUCCCAAUGUGUGUAUGUGUGUGUAUAUAUAGAGAAAUAGGUUUUAAAACCCUGAUUUAAUAUAUAUAUAUAUAUAUAAUCAUUGGGACUUUUACUUUGAGAAAAAUAGAGUGUUUCAAGCAGGUAUUUUUUUGCCUUGAAUACUGCAGCAUGGAAUAAUAAUAUAGGACUUUGGUUUUAUUUUGUUGGUUUCU